Molecule: ribosomal RNA, 1026 nt
Filed under: Phyllosticta philoprina
Lineage: Eukaryota; Fungi; Ascomycota; Dothideomycetes; Botryosphaeriales; Phyllostictaceae
Also listed under: 1 other name
Description: SSU rRNA
Rfam family: Eukaryotic small subunit ribosomal RNA
Source: RNAcentral
AUCUAUACUGUGAAACUGCGAAUGGCUCAUUAAAUCAGUUAUCGUUUAUUUGAUAGUACCUUACUACUUGGAUAACCGUGGUAAUUCUAGAGCUAAUACAUGCUAAAAACCCCGACUUCGGAAGGGGUGUAUUUAUUAGAUAAAAAACCAAUGCCCUUCGGGGCUCCUUGGUGAUUCAUGAUAACUUAACGAAUCGCAUGGCCUUGCGCCGGCGAUGGUUCAUUCAAAUUUCUGCCCUAUCAACUUUCGAUGGUAGGAUAGUGGCCUACCAUGGUAGCAACGGGUAACGGGGAAUUAGGGUUCUAUUCCGGAGAGGGAGCCUGAGAAACGGCUACCACAUCCAAGGAAGGCAGCAGGCGCGCAAAUUACCCAAUCCCGACACGGGGAGGUAGUGACAAUAAAUACUGAUACAGGGCUCUUUCGAGUCUUGUAAUUGGAAUGAGUACAAUUUAAAUACCUUAACGAGGAACAAUUGGAGGGCAAGUCUGGUGCCAGCAGCCGCGGUAAUUCCAGCUCCAAUAGCGUAUAUUAAAGUUGUUGCAGUUAAAAAGCUCGUAGUUGAACCUUGGGCCUGGCUGGCCGGUCCGCCUCACCGCGUGUACUGGUCCGGCCGGGCCUUUCCUUCUGGGGAUCCGCAUGCCCUUCACUGGGUGUGCCGGGGAACCAGGACUUUUACUUUGAAAAAAUUAGAGUGUUCAAAGCAGGCCUUUGCUCGAAUACAUUAGCAUGGAAUAAUAGAAUAGGACGUGCGGUCCUAUUUUGUUGGUUUCUAGGACCGCCGUAAUGAUUAAUAGGGAUAGUCGGGGGCAUCAGUAUUCAAUUGUCAGAGGUGAAAUUCUUGGAUUUAUUGAAGACUAACUACUGCGAAAGCAUUUGCCAAGGAUGUUUUCAUUAAUCAGUGAACGAAAGUUAGGGGAUCGAAGACGAUCAGAUACCGUCGUAGUCUUAACCGUAAACUAUGCCGACUAGGGAUCGGGCGAUGUUAUUAUUUUGACUCGCUCGGCACCUUACGAGAAAUCAAAGUCU